UACGGAGGGUCCGAGCGUUAAUCGGAAUUACUGGGCGUAAAGCGCGCGUAGGCGGUUUGUUAAGUCAGUUGUGAAAGCCCCGGGCUCAACCUGGGAAUUGCAAUUGAUACUGGCAGGCUAGAGUACAGUAGAGGGUGGUGGAAUUUCUUGUGUAGCGGUGAAAUGCGUAGAUAUAAGAAGGAACAUCAGUGGCGAAGGCG
This 200-nucleotide ribosomal RNA is filed under the name uncultured bacterium. RNAcentral describes it as "partial 16S ribosomal RNA". It matches the Rfam family "Bacterial small subunit ribosomal RNA", at positions 524 to 723 of the family's 1533-position model. The record is from RNAcentral.